RNAcentral lists this ribosomal RNA (468 nucleotides) under uncultured bacterium. RNAcentral describes it as "partial 16S ribosomal RNA". It matches the Rfam family "Bacterial small subunit ribosomal RNA", at positions 28 to 507 of the family's 1533-position model. The record is from RNAcentral.
GACGAACGCUGGCGGCGUGCUUAACACAUGCAAGUCGAACGGUGAUGCUCCAGCUUGCUGGAGUGGAUCAGUGGCGAACGGGUGAGUAACACGUGAGCAACCUGCCCCAGACUCUGGAAUAAGCGCUGGAAACGGCGUCUAAUACUGGAUACGAAACUGGCCCGCAUGGGCAUGGUUUGGAAAGUUUUUCGGUUUGGGAUGGGCUCGCGGCCUAUCAGCUUGUUGGUGAGGUAAUGGCUCACCAAGGCGACGACGGGUAGCCGGCCUGAGAGGGCGACCGGCCACACUGGGACUGAGACACGGCCCAGACUCCUACGGGAGGCAGCAGUGGGGAAUAUUGCACAAUGGGCGAAAGCCUGAUACAGCGACGCCGCGUGAGGGAUGACGGCCUUCGGGUUGUAAACCUCUUUCAGCAGGGAAGAAGCGAAAGUGACGGUACCUGCAGAAGAAGCACCGGCUAACUACGUG